CUGCUUGCUUGGGCAGCACAUAGACUAAAAUUGGAAUAAUACAGAGAUUGGCAUGGCUCCUGUGCAAGGAUGACACACAGAUUUGUGAAGCGUUUGGUAUUUUU
Mustela putorius furo (domestic ferret) is the source of this 104-nucleotide small nuclear RNA. The record is from Ensembl. Lineage: Eukaryota; Metazoa; Chordata; Mammalia; Carnivora; Mustelidae.